AGGUGGAAACUCGAGAUGGCGUUGAUGUGCGACUAUGAUGAAGAUUAUGAGUGACAAGUUAAACAGAUGUUUGUUACGUUAUCCUGUUAUGUGUUUCAAAGGAUUUUUCGUCAAAAAAUUCACGAUUGCUUUUUGUAUGUGGUGGUGUUUCGCCUUGUCAGCUAUGCCAGCUGCUGAACCAGUAGCUGCAUUCCUGCUAUCAAUGUACCGUAAGGGAUCCUGACACUUUAAGAAGGCCACUAUUCCUUACAUGAAGAUCACCAUCCAGUUCAAUCAACGACAGAGUCUUCAUCUACUUUGUGUUGCUAUCCAUCAGCCCUCAGCAUCCCAGAUUUCCAAGUUUCUCUGAUUAGCCAACCAUCAUCCAUACCUAUCAGCUCUUCAUUGUGGCUUCUCUUCCUCUCUUCUUAGUCUGCUGAAUGCCAACAUUUGCCAGCUCACAUGGAUAGGCUUUAAUAACAUCUCCAUUUUUUGGACUGCAAAUAUUCAUGUUCCUUCGGUACAACACUGCCGUUUUGACAAUUUCGGUAGUUUCGCCCCCAGUGGACCACACGCAACUACAUUUUCUUCGUCUUCCUGCCGUUGUUGUCAACGACUUCACCUUAUCGCUGUCUUCGUUGACGUCUUCGCCUUCAUCUCCGUCUCGUCGUCCUGGUCGUCUUCGCCUUCAUCUCCGUCUCGUCGUCUUGGUCGUCUUCGCCUUCAUCUCCGUCUCGUCGUCUUGGUCGUCUUCGCCUUCAUCUCCGUCUCGUCGUUUCGUCGUCUUCACCGUCUUCACCGUCUUUGUCUACGCCAUCACCUCGUCGCCGGCUUUUCCUUCGCCCUUCACGUAGGGAAUUCACCGUGGAUCGUCGCUCUGGUAUUGUUUUAUUUUGCAUUGUUAUGUUUAAGUUAACCCGUUGGCUGCCACCCCGUUUGCGUCCCAUUUUUUUUGUAGCUUGUAGGGACCGGCCGCAAUGGCCUUCGCCGCAAGGCGCUUUAGGCAA
Long non-coding RNA from Daphnia magna, 986 nucleotides. RefSeq lists it as uncharacterized. The transcript has 7 exons. NCBI's taxonomy places the organism in Eukaryota, Metazoa, Arthropoda, Branchiopoda, Diplostraca, Daphniidae. The record is from RefSeq and is a predicted model, not a curated record.